GAUGAACGCUGGCGGCGUGCCUAAUACAUGCAAGUCGAGCGAACGGACGAGAAGCUUGCUUCUCUGAUGUUAGCGGCGGACGGGUGAGUAACACGUGGAUAACCUACCUAUAAGACUGGGAUAACUUCGGGAAACCGGAGCUAAUACCGGAUAAUAUUUUGAACCGCAUGGUUCAAAAGUGAAAGACGGUCUUGCUGUCACUUAUAGAUGGAUCCGCGCUGCAUUAGCUAGUUGGUAAGGUAACGGCUUACCAAGGCAACGAUGCAUAGCCGACCUGAGAGGGUGAUCGGCCACACUGGAACUGAGACACGGUCCAGACUCCUACGGGAGGCAGCAGUAGGGAAUCUUCCGCAAUGGGCGAAAGCCUGACGGAGCAACGCCGCGUGAGUGAUGAAGGUCCUCGGAUCGUAAAACUCUGUUAUUAGGGAAGAACAUAUGUGUAAGUAACUGUGCACAUCUUGACGGUACCUAAUCAGAAAGCCACGGCUAACUACGUA
RNAcentral lists this ribosomal RNA (497 nucleotides) under uncultured bacterium. RNAcentral's name for it is "partial 16S ribosomal RNA". It matches the Rfam family "Bacterial small subunit ribosomal RNA", at positions 28 to 507 of the family's 1533-position model. The record is from RNAcentral.